Molecule: long non-coding RNA, 212 nt
Filed under: Populus trichocarpa (black cottonwood)
Lineage: Eukaryota; Viridiplantae; Streptophyta; Magnoliopsida; Malpighiales; Salicaceae
Description: long non-coding RNA (PTRI_LNC004742)
Source: RNAcentral
UGGAUCUCCUCAAAAUGCCUCCAGAGACCAGGUCCCAAGAUGUGAGAAGGUGUGACGGUUCCUUGGAAGCUGCUAACCAAAGAAUCGAUGGAAUAGAAAUCAAACUGAACACACAGUCGGAUGAUCUUGGCCAACUCAAGGCUAUGAUGAAAGAAAUAGCUACUCAGCAGAUUGCGAUAAAACACACCCUACAAACUCUCACUGGAGAGACU